GAUGAAGAACGCAGCGAAAUGCGAUACCUAAUGUGAAUUGCAGAAUUCAGUGAAUCAUCGAGUCUUUGAACGCACAUUGCGCCCCCUGGUAUUCCGGGGGGCAUGCCUGUCCGAGCGUCAUUGCUGCCCUCAAGCACGGCUUGUGUGUUGGGCCUCCGUCCUCCUCCCGGGGGACGGGCCCGAAAGGCAGCGGCGGCACCGCGUCCGGUCCUCGAGCGUAUGGGGCUUCGUCACCCGCUCUUGUAGGCCCGGCCGGCGCUUGCCGACACAUCAAUCUUUUUUCCAGGUUGACCUCGGAUCAGGUAGGGAUACCCGCUGAACUUAAGCAUAUCAAUAAGCGGAGGA
Molecule: unclassified non-coding RNA, 345 nt
Filed under: soil metagenome
Description: partial contains 5.8S ribosomal RNA, internal transcribed spacer 2, and large subunit ribosomal RNA
Rfam family: 5.8S ribosomal RNA (bases 1-120)
Source: RNAcentral